This is a long non-coding RNA of Gossypium arboreum, 610 nucleotides long. RefSeq lists it as uncharacterized. The transcript is spliced from 2 exons. NCBI's taxonomy places the organism in Eukaryota, Viridiplantae, Streptophyta, Magnoliopsida, Malvales, Malvaceae. The record is from RefSeq and is a predicted model, not a curated record.
GUGCAGGCUAUUUUUCUUUUCCCUAAAAGCUAUUAAAAUUAAGCCACCUUUUUUGAAAAAAAAAAAACUAAAACCUAUUGAAAACCCAAAUCCACCUUUUUAAAACCCCUUUUCCUUUUAACAAUCAGCCCUUUGAUUUUUUUUGAAAAGAACUUAAGAAUUUUUUGAAAUGUUCUCUCAACUCAUGCACUCAUUUUCUCCUCUUCAUCAGACACCACCUCCGUCAAAGGUCCCAUGUGCGAUGGCCACCGACGACAUGAGCACAACUCCGGUAUAAUGGACGUGGGGCGUGGGUCCUGCUUCACGCUAGUUGGCCGGACAUGCGAGGUGGAGUGCGUGGUGGUGGAGAACGUGGGUAGUGGAAGCAUGGAGGCAGUUGGAGGCUAGGGUCUUGGCUGAAAAUGUUUUGGGGUUUGUGGGUUAGGAUUAAGUAUUUGGGCUUCAAAAUUGGGUCUGUUUUUGGUCUCUGGGAUUUGUUUUUGGUUUAAAAAUUUGGGCUUUAAUGGUAAAUGGGCCCGGGCAAAAAUUGGUACCCACAGUACCUACCAGGAUAAACAAUGUUAACUUUUUACAUAGUCUAAUGAAUAUUUGAUAUGUGACAAGGAUCAAA